RNAcentral lists this long non-coding RNA (357 nucleotides) under Androctonus crassicauda. The record is from RNAcentral. Lineage: Eukaryota; Metazoa; Arthropoda; Arachnida; Scorpiones; Buthidae.
GAUAACUUUCAAUACAAAUUUUUAAUGAAUUGUCAAACAAAUUGUUGUGAUAUCAAAAUGCUUUCUCAUCAUUUAAAUAUCCUUAUUUCAAACAACAAAAAUACAUAUAUAGCAUUCUUCUUACUUUCUGCUACUGAUGAUUUACAGCAUUUCUCUAGAUCAGUGUUUCUUAAAUUGUGGGUUGUAACACCAAUUGGGGUUGCAGGACCUGCGGCAGGGUCACCAAAAAUUUUAGCAAUUUUGAUAUUUCUUUAACUUAUUAUAAUAAUUUUACAAUUACCAAAUGUUUUUACAUAAUGUAUCUGAAAAUAGAUAAAGACAAUACAGACAAAGGAAAAACGAAAACAUUUCAAUGCG